ACUCCUACGGGAGGCAGCAGUAGGGAAUCUUCGGCAAUGGACGGAAGUCUGACCGAGCAACGCCGCGUGAGUGAAGAAGGUUUUCGGAUCGUAAAGCUCUGUUGUAAGAGAAGAACGAGUGUGAGAGUGGAAAGUUCACACUGUGACGGUAUCUUACCAGAAAGGGACGGCUAACUACGUGCCAGCAGCCGCGGUAAUACGUAGGUCCCGAGCGUUGUCCGGAUUUAUUGGGCGUAAAGCGAGCGCAGGCGGUUAGAUAAGUCUGAAGUUAAAGGCUGUGGCUUAACCAUAGUACGCUUUGGAAACUGUUUAACUUGAGUGCAAGAGGGGAGAGUGGAAUUCCAUGUGUAGCGGUGAAAUGCGUAGAUAUAUGGAGGAACACCGGUGGCGAAAGCGGCUCUCUGGCUUGUAACUGACGCUGAGGCUCGAAAGCGUGGGGAGCAAACAGGAUUAGAUACCCU
This 461-nucleotide ribosomal RNA is filed under the name uncultured bacterium. RNAcentral's name for it is "bacterial SSU rRNA". It matches the Rfam family "Bacterial small subunit ribosomal RNA", at positions 335 to 788 of the family's 1533-position model. The record is from RNAcentral.